Alligator mississippiensis (American alligator) is the source of this 820-nucleotide long non-coding RNA. RefSeq lists it as uncharacterized. The transcript is spliced from 5 exons. The record is from RefSeq and is a predicted model, not a curated record. Lineage: Eukaryota; Metazoa; Chordata; Crocodylia; Alligatoridae.
GUGAUGAAUAAGAAGGAAGGGGUCCUGGGGCCAAGAAGAGCUGAGAGAGCUACCCAGUGGGUGUAUCCAGCUGCCCAGAAGAGCCAGAAAGAUUCUGCCGCUGGACAGAAGCAGUAGGUGGUGCAGGCAUUGCUGCAUGGAGGGUCCAUGAGGGACUGGGACUUUGGGAGCUGCACCAAGGCAGCUCAGGUCUCCAACCCUGGCACAAGGCCAGGCUUGGGAGUCUGUGCUACUGCAGGAUUAUGCCAAACCACUCUGCUGCUGAGUCAUCAUUCCUGGAACCCAGACUAUUUUUAGCUUCUGAGACACCCUCCUUCAAAACUACUACUGGUGCCCCUGCAACACACUGAAUUCUAGUCAAAAGAUGUACAACUGUAAGGAGAACUGGGUACCUCUUAUUUCUUGGCUUAGAGUGGAUAGUCUGGAAAUUCUAAAUUCACUAAUACUGAACAAUCAGGACCUUUCACAGUGUCAGCUCUUUUGGAACUGGACAGCUUGCCUCUAUAGUCUUACAACCGGAACUGGGGUUCAGCGUCACUGGUCAAGUUCCAAUCUUCCAUCCCCGACAGCAGUCAGCUUUUUUUGACUGAAGUGGCCAAUAAUGUUGCUGAUAAAUGCCCCAUGCAUGUGCACAGCUGCAGCGCAGCAUGCAGGCAGCCAGGAGCACAGCCCAGCAGCAUGGAGAACAGCCGGAUAUGGCUGGUAAAUCUAUUAUAUGGGAAGAGGCAUGGGGGGGUGCAGAUUGAGGCCCCAGAGGUGAGGGAAGGAGUGGGGCUGGGACUGAACCAUGAGUGGCUUGUCUGGGGUGCACAGGGGAGGG